AAAAUCUUGCCAAUUCAAUAUAUUGCAGGACCAUGUAGGCCU
Shigella dysenteriae Sd197 is the source of this 42-nucleotide small RNA. It matches the Rfam family "ES036 (CssrF) sRNA". From Rfam's summary of the family: Differentially expressed under several chemical stress conditions. Lineage: Bacteria; Pseudomonadati; Pseudomonadota; Gammaproteobacteria; Enterobacterales; Enterobacteriaceae. The record is from Rfam.